This 497-nucleotide ribosomal RNA is filed under the name uncultured bacterium. Its description in RNAcentral is "partial 16S ribosomal RNA". It matches the Rfam family "Bacterial small subunit ribosomal RNA", at positions 28 to 507 of the family's 1533-position model. The record is from RNAcentral.
GAUGAACGCUGGCGGCGUGCCUAAUACAUGCAAGUCGAGCGAACAGACGAGGAGCUUGCUCCUCUGACGUUAGCGGCGGACGGGUGAGUAACACGUGGAUAACCUACCUAUAAGACUGGGAUAACUUCGGGAAACCGGAGCUAAUACCGGAUAAUAUAUUGAACCGCAUGGUUCAAUAGUGAAAGACGGCUUUGCUGUCACUUAUAGAUGGAUCCGCGCCGCAUUAGCUAGUUGGUAAGGUAACGGCUUACCAAGGCGACGAUGCGUAGCCGACCUGAGAGGGUGAUCGGCCACACUGGAACUGAGACACGGUCCAGACUCCUACGGGAGGCAGCAGUAGGGAAUCUUCCGCAAAGGGCGAAAGCCUGACGGAGCAACGCCGCGUGAGUGAUGAAGGUCUUCGGAUCGUAAAACUGUGUUAUUAGGGAAGAACAAAUGUGUAAGUAACUAUGCACGUCUUGACGGUACCUAAUCAGAAAGCCACGGCUAACUACGUG